AUUUUCGGGGCAUACUGACCUGCAGUGGCACGGUAUUUGGUAGGAAGGGGUAAAAUCCUUUGAUCUAUUGAGGACCACCUGUGGCGAAGGCGGUCUACCAGAACACGUUCGACGGUGAGGGAUGAAAGCUGGGGGAGCAAACCGGAUUAGAUACCCGGGUAGUCCCAGCCGUAAACGAUGCAGACUCGGUGAUGCGCUGGCUUGUGGCCAGUGCAGUGCCGCAGGGAAGCCGUUAAGUUUGCCGCCUGGGAAGUACGUACGCAAGUAUGAAACUUAAAGGAAUUGGCGGGGGAGCACCACAAGGGGUGAAGCCUGCGGUUCAAUUGGAGUCAACGCCAGAAAUCUUACCCGAAGAGACAGCAGAAUGAAGGUCAAGCUGGAGACUUUACCAGACAAGCUGAGAAGUGGUGCAUGGCCGUCGCCAGCUCGUGCC
This 433-nucleotide ribosomal RNA is filed under the name uncultured archaeon. Its description in RNAcentral is "bacterial SSU rRNA". It matches the Rfam family "Archaeal small subunit ribosomal RNA", at positions 570 to 1015 of the family's 1478-position model. The record is from RNAcentral.